GACGAACGCUGGCGGCGUGCUUAACACAUGCAAGUCGAACGGUGAAGCGCCUUCCCUUUUGGUGGGUGUGGAUGAGUGGCGAACGGGUGAGUAACACGUGAGUAACCUGCCCCCUUCUUCUGGAUAACCGCAUGAAAGUGUGGCUAAUACGGGAUAUUCUGGGUCUGUCGCAUGAUGGGUCUGGGAAAGAUAUUGUUUCGGUGGGGGAUGGGCUCGCGGCCUAUCAGCUUGUUGGUGGGUGAUGGCCUACCAAGGCGGUGACGGGUAGCCGGCCUGAGAGGGUGGACGGUCACACUGGGACUCAGACACGGCCCAGACUCCUACGGGAGGCAGCAGUGGGGAAUAUUGCACAAUGGGCGCAAGCCUGAUGCAGCGACGCCGCGUGAGGGAUGGAGGCCUUCGGGUUGUGAACCUCUUUCGCCAGUGAAGCAGGCCUGCCUCGUUUGUGGGUGGGUUGACGGUAGCUGGAUAAGAAGCGCCGGCUAACUACGUG
RNAcentral lists this ribosomal RNA (493 nucleotides) under uncultured bacterium. RNAcentral's name for it is "partial 16S ribosomal RNA". It matches the Rfam family "Bacterial small subunit ribosomal RNA", at positions 28 to 507 of the family's 1533-position model. The record is from RNAcentral.